UCGAGGGGCAGCGAGGGUGAUAGCAAUAUUACCUGUCGGCGACCGGCGCACGGGUGCGUAACGCGUAUGCAACCUACCAUCAACAGGGGGAUAACACUGAGAAAUUGGUACUAAUACCCCAUAAUAUCUCAUGCGGCAUCGCAUGGGGUUGAAAACUCCGGUGGUUGAUGAUGGGCAUGCGUUGUAUUAGCUGGUUGGUGAGGUAACGGCUCACCAAGGCGACGAUACAUAGGGGGACUGAGAGGUUAACCCCCCACAUUGGUACUGAGACACGGACCAAACUCCUACGGGAGGCAGCAGUGAGGAAUAUUGGUCAAUGGACGCAAGUCUGAACCAGCCAUGCCGCGUGCAGGAUGACGGCUCUAUGAGUUGUAAACUGCUUUUGUACGAGGGUAAACCCCGAUACGUGUAUUGGGUUGAAAGUAUCGUACGAAUAAGGAUCGGCUAACUCCGUGCCAGCAGCCGCGGUAAUACGGAGGAUCCGAGCGUUAUCCGGAUUUAUUGGGUUUAAAGGGUGCGUAGGCGGUUUGAUAAGUUAGAGGUGAAAUGUCGGGGCUCAACCCCGAAACUGCCUCUAAUACUGUU
Molecule: ribosomal RNA, 585 nt
Filed under: uncultured bacterium
Lineage: Bacteria
Description: bacterial SSU rRNA
Rfam family: Bacterial small subunit ribosomal RNA
Source: RNAcentral